Molecule: ribosomal RNA, 230 nt
Filed under: uncultured bacterium
Lineage: Bacteria
Description: partial 16S ribosomal RNA
Rfam family: Bacterial small subunit ribosomal RNA
Source: RNAcentral
UGCGUAACGCGUAACCAACCUACCCGAAAUCUGGGGGAGUAGCCCGCCGAAAGGCGGAUUAAUACCGCAUAAAACUGCAGCACGGCAUCGUGUCACAGUUAAAGAUUUAUUGGAUUCGGAUGGGGUUGCGUGCCAUUAGCUAGUUGGGGGGGUAACGGGCCCACCAAGGCGACGAUGGCUAGGGGAGCUGAGAGGCUGGUCCCCCACACGGGCACUGAGAUACGGGCCCG